UUAAUUCUCUACUGUACAUUACCUGCAUUAAUUCUCUAUUCUAAAAGAUUAGAAAUUAAUGUAAUUCUAUUUCAUACAAAAAUCGAUACAUUUUUUUGGAAAUCGCCUUAUCUACGAAAGUACAAAAUACCAACAAAGUAUUAUGAAUUGCCAAAUUUUAAUACAUUAAAGUUUAUGUGUAAGUGUAAUCGCUUAUUAUUAAAAUGAUUUUCAUUGGGUUCAUAGAGAAAUAAAAAACAUUUACAAUAGAAAUUCAUUUUGAUAUAAUAAUUUUUUAAUGUUUUUAUCAAUUUUAAUGUAAUUAGAAAACUCAUUAAUAAGCUCUGUUUUAAAAAUAAUAUUAUUCCUUGACUGAUGUGAAUAAGUAUUUUCUAAAACUCUUGUUGAAGAGAUGGUUACAAAUUAUAUAUAUUUCAUAGGAGACUAAUUUUUGAAUUUCAUAUGUAUAACAAUAAUCUUGUAAAUAAUUUCAGAACUAUAAUAUAUAUAUGUAUAUCACAUCAGUGAUAUUGUUAGAGAAUGAGACCAAUUUUUUAAAACUACUUUACAUUCGAAAUAAUCAUUCUCAUUAUAGAUAAAAAUAGAAAUAUUUUUUACAUAUUUCCAAGAAGAAUAUUUUUUAAAUACAAUUUUUCUACCAACGAAUAUGCUUUAUAAAAUAUUAUCUUUAUACAGUAUCUUAUAUUUAAUUAUAUAGCCAUAUCUUUAACAAUAAAUUAAUAUGUAUAAAUACGAUUUAUUAACGGAAAUACCGAUGAAUGAUGAAAAUUUACUAAAAAUACUAAUCUAUUAUUUUAAUAAUAAGCGAUUUGUUUACAGAAAUUUAAAUCUGAAAUUAUUAAAAUUCAAUGCAAACUAUUAAUUAUAGUUAGUUCCUGUUUACUAUCUUGUUCUAAGUAAAAUAAUUAUUAUGGUUUUCUAUGGUACAUAAAAAGAAAUUCAAACACUAUAUUUUUUCAGAUUUGAAAUCAGUUAUACAAUUAAUAUGUAUAACAGGUGAAUGAAAAAGAAAGGAAUGUUCUAAAAAAAGUACAUAACUUUGUUCAAUAUUUGUAGAUGCCAUAAUCUCAUGUACUAUGUAAAAACUAUAUCUUUUGUGUCUUAAAUGCUUCCAGUAGUUUGCAAUUUACAUAAAAUGCAAAAUGAAGGUUUCAAUUAAAAUCGAUAAAACAUACGAUUAAUUUAUCGUAAUAAUAUUUUAUAUUUCAUUUCCAAAAAUAUUGGGUAAAAAUUCGAUCAGAUAUUUUAAUUUUAUGCUUUAUAAUAGCAUUCUUAUGUUAGUGCAUGUUAUUAAUUUUUUAAACAUUCUAGAUAUUACUAAUAUUUUAAUUAUUUAUAAAUUACAUAAAAGGAAAUAUAUUUAAUAUUUACAUAAAAAUCUAUACACACGCACACGCGUAUGCACAUGCGUGCGUGCACACGCAUACAUACAAACAUACAUACAUACGUAAAAAUAUACACAUAUAUUUUUAGUAACGUUAUGUAAUUUAAGCUUAGAACACUCCUCGUUCAAACAUCUGGACCAAUUCAGAACGUUUAAAUUUUUGUAAAAAUUAUCAUGGUGUAUGCUAGAACGAAUGUAAUUGGUUCUAAAAUUAUAUUCCACAUUUGUUCCUUCUAGUAUACGUUGAGACAUAUAUAAAUAAUAUUUUUCUGCAUUCGUUGUAGCGUUGCAAUUAUAUUAACGAAAACUGUUCAUUGUAGUAUACUUAACUGUAUUUCAAAUUUUAAACGACCUUGUACAUACUGCCAAAAAUGAUAGCUUGAAUGAUGCAGUGAGAAAAGUUAAUUUUCUAUGUAUUUAUAUAUGAAAUAAAUGUAAUACAGAAUGCAAUUCAUAUUUUAUAAAACAAUAUAUAAUUUUGUUGAAGUUAUAAAUAUUGUCGAAACAGUAGUAUACUAGUUUUAAUGAAUAUUUACACCAAUUUUAAAUUUUAAAUAUAAUAGAAAUUGGAGAACUUGAAGAUGUUGUAGCAAAAUAUUUUUAACAGAGGAUGUUGAAUUGUUAAAUACAUUUGUUUACAUAUCACUGAGAUGUAUAGACAGGGAAUAAUACCUAACAAACAAAUAGCAAUGAAAUGAAAUGUAGUAUAUAAAUAACAUUACAAAUAGUAACUAUGUAUUUCAUGUAACGUAAAUUCUUAAAUGUAAUUGUUAUUUACAUAAAAUGCAGUGAACUACACUGU
This is a long non-coding RNA of Frieseomelitta varia, 2186 nucleotides long. RefSeq lists it as uncharacterized. The transcript has 3 exons. NCBI's taxonomy places the organism in Eukaryota, Metazoa, Arthropoda, Insecta, Hymenoptera, Apidae. The record is from RefSeq and is a predicted model, not a curated record.